GCAAACUUGGUCAUUUAGAGGAAGUAAAAGUCGCAACAAGGUUUCCGUAGGUGAACCUGCGGAAGGAUCAUUAGUGAAUAAUUUGUGUGUUUGCUGGGUACUUCCCCAGCUUACACACAUUCUAUCCACUUUAUCUACCCCCUUAUGUGAACUUGUUAUUUUCGGGCGGUUUCUCUCUCUCCCUUGGCGGGGAAAGAAGCUGGUCGAGGCUUGUUUGUUUUGGGAAACAGCCGAAUUACCCCCUUUUUUGAAAAGCAAUUGUGUUAAUGAGAAUGUGUUUGUUACUAUAAAUAAUAAUAAAACUUUCAGUGACGGAUCUCUUGGCUCUCGCAUCGAUGAAGAACGCAGC
RNAcentral lists this unclassified non-coding RNA (349 nucleotides) under uncultured fungus. RNAcentral's name for it is "partial contains small subunit ribosomal RNA, internal transcribed spacer 1, and 5.8S ribosomal RNA". The stretch from base 1 to 73 matches the Rfam family "Eukaryotic small subunit ribosomal RNA", at positions 1759 to 1831 of the family's 1831-position model. The record is from RNAcentral. Lineage: Eukaryota; Fungi.